Podarcis lilfordi (Lilford's wall lizard) is the source of this 85-nucleotide non-coding RNA. NCBI's taxonomy places the organism in Eukaryota, Metazoa, Chordata, Lepidosauria, Squamata, Lacertidae. The record is from the annotation of a GenBank genome assembly.
UCCUGACUCUAGCUCAGUUGGUAGAGCAUAAGCAUUUUAAGCAUCUUAAUCUCAGGGUUGUUGGUACGAGCCCCAUGUUGGGUAA